GAAGAUAACCAGGCCCAGGUCUGGGAUGUAUUUCGAAGAGAGACCACCUGGGAAUCACAGAAGUCAUCUACA
RNAcentral lists this ribosomal RNA (72 nucleotides) under Numida meleagris (helmeted guineafowl). The record is from RNAcentral. Lineage: Eukaryota; Metazoa; Chordata; Aves; Galliformes; Numididae.